GAUGUACUCCUUCGUCCAGAAAUACUUCUCAUCAAAAUGAAUAAAAGGGGAUGUAUCUAGAUGUAUUUUAGUUCUAGAUACAUUCCGUUUUAUUUAUUUCGAUGACAAGUAUUUUCGGACGGAGGAAGUAAAUU
Molecule: non-coding RNA, 134 nt
Organism: Triticum aestivum (bread wheat)
Lineage: Eukaryota; Viridiplantae; Streptophyta; Magnoliopsida; Poales; Poaceae
Source: Rfam